UUUUUAUUAGAUGAUGAUUGUCACGUGUCAUGUUCUAAUUUAAUGUUAAUUCCGUGAAAGAUGAAAUAUAUUGUUGUUUUCAUUGAUCAAUCAGAACAUAACAUGUGACAAUCAUCAUCU
Glycine soja is the source of this 120-nucleotide non-coding RNA. Lineage: Eukaryota; Viridiplantae; Streptophyta; Magnoliopsida; Fabales; Fabaceae. The record is from Rfam.